RNAcentral lists this ribosomal RNA (407 nucleotides) under uncultured bacterium. RNAcentral's name for it is "bacterial SSU rRNA". It matches the Rfam family "Bacterial small subunit ribosomal RNA", at positions 355 to 776 of the family's 1533-position model. The record is from RNAcentral.
UGGGGAAUUUUCCACAAUGGGCGAAAGCCUGAUGGAGCAAUACCGCGUGAAGGAUGAAGGAUCGUGGUCCGUAAACUUCUUUUCUUAACGAAGAGAAUCUGACGGUAGUUAAGGAAUAAGCACCGGCUAACUCCGUGCCAGCAGCCGCGGUAAUACGGGGGGUGCAAGCGUUGUCCGGAAUGAUUGGGCGUAAAGCAUCUGUAGGUGGUUUUUAAAGUCGACUGUUAAAGCCCAGGGCUCAACUUUGGAUAAGCGGUCGAGUACUUAAGGACUUGAGUAUGGUAGGGGUAGAGGGAAUUCCUAGUGGAGCGGUGAAAUGCACAGAGAUUAGGAAGAACACCGAGGGCGAAAGCACUCUACUGGGCCAUGACUGACACUGAGAGAUGAAAGUUGGGGGAGCGAAAAGG